GAAAUGCGAUAAGCAAUGCGAAUUGCAGAAUUCCGCGAGUCAUCAGAUCUUUGAACGCAGCCCGCGCUGGGGAGCUCUCUCCUCAGCAUGUUUGUUUCAGUGUGUUUGGUUGACUUCAAACAGCUCAAUGCGAUUGAACUUUCCCCCUCUUCAAAAAGGUGUCUGGAAGGGUCUCUCGUGAAAAGCGAAGGCGUGGGACUAAAAACUCCGCCAACGAUGUGGUCACUGUCUAACAGUGGUUUCGUUGGGUAAUAUCGGGAUUAGUCAUUUUAUGUACGUCUUAAAAAAAACAACUCUCUUCAAUCUGCACCUGAAAUCAAGCAAGAACACCCGCUGAACUUAA
RNAcentral lists this unclassified non-coding RNA (343 nucleotides) under uncultured fungus. Its description in RNAcentral is "sequence contains ITS1". The stretch from base 1 to 105 matches the Rfam family "5.8S ribosomal RNA", at positions 50 to 154 of the family's 154-position model. The record is from RNAcentral. Lineage: Eukaryota; Fungi.